GAGCAAAUCCCAGAAACAGCGUCCCAGUUCGGAUUGCAGUCUGCAACUCGACUGCAUGAAGCCGGAAUCGCUAGUAAUCGCGGAUCAGAAUGCCGCGGUGAAUACGUUCCCGGGUCUUGUACACACCGCCCGUCACACCAUGGGAGUCGGGAAUGCCCGAAGCCGGUGACCCAACCUUCGGGAGGGAGCCGUCGAAGGCAGGCCUGGUAACUGGGGUGAAGUCGUAACAAGGUACC
RNAcentral lists this ribosomal RNA (236 nucleotides) under uncultured bacterium. RNAcentral's name for it is "partial 16S ribosomal RNA". It matches the Rfam family "Bacterial small subunit ribosomal RNA", at positions 1265 to 1500 of the family's 1533-position model. The record is from RNAcentral.